Molecule: regulatory RNA element, 91 nt
Organism: Geobacter sp. OR-1
Lineage: Bacteria; Pseudomonadati; Thermodesulfobacteriota; Desulfuromonadia; Geobacterales; Geobacteraceae
Rfam family: pan motif
Source: Rfam
AGCCCGCUACGAGAGCGGAGCCGACAAACCCCCACCUGUUUUUUUAUUUCACACAUACCGCCUGGAUUCAGCAAUGAACCGGGACGGAAGG